RNAcentral lists this ribosomal RNA (468 nucleotides) under uncultured bacterium. RNAcentral describes it as "partial 16S ribosomal RNA". It matches the Rfam family "Bacterial small subunit ribosomal RNA", at positions 28 to 507 of the family's 1533-position model. The record is from RNAcentral.
GACGAACGCUGGCGGCGUGCUUAACACAUGCAAGUCGAACGGAAAGGCCCUGCUUUUGUGUGGUGCUCGAGUGGCGAACGGGUGAGUAACACGUGAGUAACCUGCCCUUGACUUUGGGAUAACUUCAGGAAACUUGGGCUAAUACCGGAUAGGAGCUCCUGCUGCAUGGUGGGGGUUGGAAAGUUUCGGCGGUUGGGGAUGGACUCGCGGCUUAUCAGCUUGUUGGUGGGGUAGUGGCUUACCAAGGCUUUAACGGGUAGCCGGCCUGAGAGGGUGACCGGGCACAUUGGGACUGAGAUACGGCCCAGACUCCUACGGGAGGCAGCAGUGGGGAAUAUUGCACAAUGGGCGGAAGCCUGAUGCAGAAACGCCGCGUGCGGGAUGACGGCCUUCGGGUUGUAAACCGCUUUCGCCUGUGACGAAGCGUGAGUGACGGUAAUGGGUAAAGAAGCACCGGCUAACUACGUG